UACAGAGGUCCCAAGCGUUGUUCGGAUUCACUGGGCGUAAAGGGUGCGUAGGCGGUUGGGUAAGUCUGAUGUGAAAUCUCACAGCUUAACUGUGAAAACUGCAUUGGAUACUAUCCGGCUAGAGGAAUGGAGGGGAGACUGGAAUACUUGGUGUAGCAGUGAAAUGCGUAGAUAUCAAGUGGAACACCAGUGGCGAAGGCGAGUCUCUGGACAUUUCCUGACGCUGAGGCACGAAAGCCAGGGGAGCAAACAGG
This 254-nucleotide ribosomal RNA is filed under the name uncultured bacterium. Its description in RNAcentral is "partial 16S ribosomal RNA". It matches the Rfam family "Bacterial small subunit ribosomal RNA", at positions 524 to 776 of the family's 1533-position model. The record is from RNAcentral.